Molecule: long non-coding RNA, 4332 nt
Organism: Vicia villosa (hairy vetch)
Lineage: Eukaryota; Viridiplantae; Streptophyta; Magnoliopsida; Fabales; Fabaceae
Exons: 10
Source: RefSeq, a predicted model, not a curated record
UAUCCCUCUUUCUCUCAUUUUUGUUAUCUCUUUCUCUCUCUCACGUCUCUGUUUUCCUUCCCCCUCUUUCUCUUCUUCUUCAUUCACUCUCUUCUCCCUCUUUCUUUUCUUCCUCGAAACGAAAGGCUACAGUGGUGCGAACAGGGGAGAAGAUGACGAAAGGCUAAUUUGGCGACGAUGUCGGAUUCGUAACGAACAUGUGUGGUUGGCCACUGUUUAUGCAAUUUGAAGGUAAUGUUUUAUACCUUCACUCCAAGUUGCUUCUGAUAUAUUAUGCUCUUCCUCUUCAUCUUUUUUUCCAGAUCCAACACUUUCGUGGCUUAGGUUUUCUAGAUCCAACACUUUCGUGGCUUAGGGUUUGCGGAUCCAAUGCUUUCUGUUUCUUCUGUAUAGGAUGCAAUAAGUGGUGGUGGUGGUUGCGUGCCUUCUCAUGUCGACAUAUUUUUUUAGGUGAAAGGACAUUGUUGUUAUUUUCUUAUUCCAAUGAUUAUCGAGCAAUACAUGUGUCUCUGGUGAAGGUGUACUUAAAGGCGCAUCUAGAAGAUUUGGCUGAGAAAUUUGCCAGGGAGAAAGUUCAAGUAAGCAUUAUUAAAAUUGGUCGUGAAUGGUCACAACAUUCUGCCGGGUCUCACGUUUCCCGGCUGAUAAGUUUUUUUCAAAAUCUAUCCAGCUACCCCUUGAACAAAUCACCAUGCUAUCUGAGCCAACAUUGUGUGUUAAUGUUGCUACUACUAACCAAGUAAUUGCUAAUCCAAAUGAAUGGUACCACAAAGCAUGCCACCAGUGCCUUCAGGUUGCAAAGAGCGACGCUCCAUCUUACUUUUGCAGGGACGGACACCGAACUUAGACGUAGACAUGGAGGUUUAAGAUAGUUAUCGAAGUUGUGCAUGAAGGAAAUGCGGCGAACUUCGUGUUCUGGGACAAUGAGGCUGCUGAACUUUUAAAAACAACUGCUGCACAUCUUCGUGCAACCAUGAAAGAGGUUGUUGCUGCGUAUAUGAUGAGUCAAACUCUAAAUGAGAAGGGAUACAAUGCAUAUGCCUUCUCCAUUCCUUCAGGGAAGGAGUUUCUGUCCAUACUUAGUCUUGCUGCUCCUGUAUUUGUGACAUUGAUGUUGAAGGUGGCUUUCUACUAUCUACUUAUAUAUUUUGCUACAAUGAGUACACAUAAAAUGGUUGCUUAUCAAGUUAGUUUUUCUCUGAAAUCUGGAAGUGAAAUAGUGAUGAGUUAUUACGUUUAGCUUUUUAAAUCUGGUUUUUUGUUCUAUUUGUAGGUUAGCGAUUGGUUCGUCACGGGUCAGUGUUUGUUUUGUUUGUAUCACAGGAAAUGUUUUUUCCUUUGGAGAAUCGAGGGCUUUAACAGGUGCGGGAAAGUUUGGCUACUUAAAGAUUCACCGGCGGGCUACAAAAAACUAUUACCAAUUUCAUUACUUCAGGAUAAGCCAAUAGGAAAAAGAAUUCAUUUUCAGAUUUUACAGAUAAUUACUUUCUCAGUGAUACAGCAACUGAUUUGGAUAAGUCUUUCGUCAUUGUUUGCCUUCAAUGCCCGAAUCAACCAAAUAACCGCACAUGUUAAACCAUGUUGUGUGAUAAUGAUGCAGGGCAGAACCGAGUCAUACAACUGUUGUACCGAAUGAUCUCGGGGCUGAACAGGGUCAUACAAAUGUUAUACUGAAUGAUGCAGGGGCAAAACCGAGUCCUACAGCUGAUAUACUGAACAUUGUAGGUACUGGCUGAAGGCAAAACCGAGUCCUCAGAUUCAUGGAGGUUCUGGUGGAAUUGAUAUAUUUGCGAUUCAGGCAGCGAAGUUGGGCAGAUCGAGAGUAAUUGUUGUUGCAGGUGAUGAAGAGAGGCUAUCUUAUUGCGAGAGUAUGGGAAGCAAUUGUUCCACAAAAUAUGCACCCUCAAUAACCUUUUUUUUCUUCAACUGCUCUUCAAGGGUCAUUGUGCUUAGAUUAAUCUGAUUUUCUCUCCAUGCCUCUAUGCAUAUGGAUUCUCUUGCACUCUGAUGCUGGUCCAAGGAUUGCUUCAGUGGCUGGAAUCCUUAGCACUUAGCUACAUAGAUUAGAUGCUUUUUUUCAUUUCAAGAGGGUGGCAAAUUGAUCCCUUUGGCCAUUAUGCUGUGCAGGCUUACUUAUUGGAGUUGAAGUUGGCUUUGAUUCAUUUUGCUUUGAUUCAAUGAGCAAAGAUGAUCAUAUUUGGAAUUGUGGUGAAGGGACUGAUGGUUAUGUUCAUAACAGAUUUAAACAAAUUGCCGAUGGUGUUGUUGGUUUGUCGAAUCAUGGAGGUGGAAACUGGUAUCAUUUCGGUCAUGCAACAAAGGGAGUAAUAGUCAGUGUAAAACUAAUAGUUCGGAAAAAGUCGACCAAUUGCUGAUGGACAAUUGCUGUAAGUAUAAUCUAUUUUUUACUUUGUAUACACAUACCGUCAGUCUAAAGUACUUGAGAUUUGGAGUCAAUCUAAUGUUGGUUUCAAUAGUUUAAACACAUUUUGCUUUCCUAACGUGAUUCAUAGCCCAAGUGAUGAUACCGCCAGUUUAAACAUGCUUCGAAUCUUCGGGACUGGUAUUGCUGAACUUCCUUUAGUUCCAACAAGUAACAGUCAUUAUGGGAAGAUGAGACAUUACUGGAUGCAUGUCUCACUUGCAUCGUACACUUUUCUUUAUUUCAGUGAAACUUUGUGCUAAAAUUUUGAGUGGUUUGCCGUGUAUUGUGGUCACUUGCGGAAAUAACUUGGUAUUGCAUUAAUUAUACUUAUUUUGGUUUGGUAAAAAACAUGUCUACUUCCAAACACUCUUCUCCUGCCUUAAAAGGCUACUGGCCUUUAUGAAAGUAAAGAAAAUUGUGGUACCGACGGCAGAUGAAACAAUUUCGGUUUAUCAAAAUUCUGAUCUGAUAUAGCGGCAUAACGCUGCUAUAAUUGCUAUUUCGGUUUCACAAUUGAUUUUUAACAAAUUUUGUGUUUAAUAAUUUUUCUUAACAAUAGAAAUUUUUUAAAAUCUAUACAAUUAUCUACCAGUUUAUUUUUUUCUCAAUAAUAUUUUAUUUUAUAAUUUUUUUGAUUUCUCAUUACAAACUGGUGACAUAUCCAAGGUACACACCAGUACCCGUGCGGACGCACGGAUUAUUACAAUAAAUACGUAUUUUUCAUGUGAGUUAUCCUAAAUUAUGUUUCUAUUGAUUUUUAACUAAUUUUAAUUUUAAAUAUUUAUUCAUCUCAUUUAUUAAACUUAAUAUUUUCAACUAAUUUUAAAUUUAUAUCAUUAUCUUUGAACAUUUAUUUUGUUUUGCUUUUCCACAAUAAAACAUAUAUCUUAUUGAUGUUGCAUGAAAUACUUCUCGAUCUUAGAAGAUAUACAUGAUUUAUCUGGUAUACCCGGUCCAGGCCAAACCAGUACCAGUGCGGAGAUAGCAAAAUUAUAAACCCUACAUAAUUUUGAAUAAUAUAUAUUUUAUAAUACCAAUUAUACAUCUGAAAUGAAUGAAUGUGCGUCCCAUACCAGAACCCGUGCAAACGCACGGGUUAGUUACUAGUUUGGUCUUGAUGAAUAUUUAUUGUCAUUGCUUAAAUGGGAUCUUGAUCCUCUCAUGCUAAAUGUCUCCUGCUCUCCAUCCUGCUGCAAUCCAAGCCUUUAAACUAAUCUAUAUGCAAGAGAGAGAAAAAGGUCCAGAAGUCUAAACCAAUAGUUUAUUAUCCAACGGUUAGAUGUUGUGCAAGAGACAUGGCAUCAGCAAAACACAGGAGAGGAUCUAUUUCCGCUUGAAUGUGACUUCAUCAAGAUCAUUUAUCACAUCCAGUGGUCAAGUUUAUAAUAAAUCACUACUACGAAAAAGGUAUUUAACAAAGGUUGGAAUAGGUAUAUAAUCAUACAGGUUCAUGUGUUGUUAUGUAGCGUAUGUGUUGUUGUUUAUGCGGUACUUUAAAUUACGGUCCUAUGACCGUUGUAGUAAAUUGAAAAAUGUGCCCCAUAUAACAACGAUUAAGUCUAAUAACUAUUGUGAUAUUGUUGAAUAAAUGUCAACACUAUCAUACGAGAAUUAACAAUACACCAUUUUUGAAUUAAUAUCAAAAUUAGUUGUAUUAAGUACACAAUUCUAUUAAGUACAUCAAAAUAUACGUAGAAUGAAUAUCUAAGAAUGAAAGAAUAAAUUUGAACAGCUCGAGGUAGGCAAAUAUUCUUUCCAACUUUCAAGAGAAGAGAAAGUGUAUAGAAUUAAAGAACCAAUAAUGAGCAAACUAUGCGUGCAUCUUUUGAUUUUUAAACUUUGAGAAGAAGAUGAAGAAUCACAAGAAACAAUAUAGUUUGUUAUUUCAGUCUCAAGCAAACUAUGUU